UACGUAGGGUGCGAGCGUUGUCCGGAAUUAUUGGGCGUAAAGAGCUUGUAGGCGGUUUGUCGCGUCUGCUGUGAAAAUCCGGGGCUCAACCCCGGACUGCAGUGGGUACGGGCAGACUAGAGUGUGGUAGGGGAGACUGGAAUUCCUGGUGUAGCGGUGAAAUGCGCAGAUAUCAGGAGGAACACCGAUGGCGAAGGCAGGUCUCUGGGCCACUACUGAC
RNAcentral lists this ribosomal RNA (220 nucleotides) under uncultured bacterium. RNAcentral's name for it is "partial 16S ribosomal RNA". It matches the Rfam family "Bacterial small subunit ribosomal RNA", at positions 524 to 744 of the family's 1533-position model. The record is from RNAcentral.